Long non-coding RNA from Hibiscus syriacus, 529 nucleotides. RefSeq lists it as uncharacterized. The record is from RefSeq and is a predicted model, not a curated record. The transcript has 2 exons. Lineage: Eukaryota; Viridiplantae; Streptophyta; Magnoliopsida; Malvales; Malvaceae.
CAUCAUUUAUUCAAUCACUUUCUUAUUCUUCAUUUUAUAUAUUCAUGUAAUCCCCCCUCCCUUUUCUUUUUCCAGCCAGUUGAAUCACCAAAUUUUAGCUAAAUGUAUCAUUAGGAGGUGGAUAUUGAGAAUCCCUUGUGUGUUAGCUAACAGGGGCUUCGUUCAUAAUCCUUGCGAUAAUCAGAAAUGACAAGUUCUCUUCACCCAAGUAUAAUACAUAUUCUGGGAAUAAGAUAGAUGCCAAGCCUCAUACUGAUCCUACCAGUUCUUGGUGGUGGUUGAUACGCAGGCCGGCUACGGUCAUCCCAUUGACAACCCUUGAUGCUGAAGUGGUUGUAAGAGGACACAUUUUCUCAAGGCCACCUCUCGUUGCCCAUAUUCUGUGUUCCACAUGCUCGAAAACAAAUGCAUCGGCUUCUCACUCCGUGGGGUCAGAACCAAAGCAUUUGCCUCAUUUCACUGCCUCCGACUCCAUUUUGUACACUUUUGUCUGGAUUCAAUACGGUUGUCCAAUUUGAUUCCUCAAGAA